RNAcentral lists this long non-coding RNA (1168 nucleotides) under Heterocephalus glaber (naked mole-rat). RNAcentral's name for it is "lncRNA (ENSHGLG00000045642.1)". The record is from RNAcentral. Lineage: Eukaryota; Metazoa; Chordata; Mammalia; Rodentia; Bathyergidae.
UGAAAGGUAUGGUGGCACACAUCUGUAACCCCAGUAUUCAGGAGGCUGAGGCAGGAGGAUUGCAAACUCGAAGCCAGGGUGGCUUACAAAGGGAUUUAGCUCAGUGGUUCGGCUGCCUGCCUUGCAAGCACAAGGUCCUGAGUUCGAUCCCCGGUAUCAAAAAAGAGCCUGGAAGCCAAAGUGAGACCUGUCACAAACAAAAAGCAAGGGAAUGGUGGCUUGAGUCUGUAAUCUCAGCCCUUCUGGCGGCUGAGACAGGAGGACUGCAAGUUUGGGCCCACCCCAGACAAUUUCAAUACUUAGAGACAGCCUGUCUCAACUCCCAGUACCGGACUAGAAACAACAAAAACGAAACUCAUAAUCUAAGACUUAAAGCAUGGUAUUGGACAUUUAAUGUUUCAUGUGGUGAAAACACGAAUAGAAAAAUAGGGGGAAAUCGAGGCAUAAAAAACGGUUUCCUCCGUCCACGCAGCCAGGCUCUUUACCCAGUAGACAAGUGGGGGAAAGUCUUGGCCUCAUGACUUCUGAGCCGAGACUGUCACAUCGGGGACACAGAAGCAAAGCCAGGACUGUCCUUCACGCGUGUCCACCGCUCCCCCCUGGUGACGGAGGUGCUCCUUACCCCGGGCUCCACCGCAGAUCAUGCUCUCCUGAACUACGCAGGGAAAGGAGAAACCGCCAGCCCCUUGUCCCUAUACUGGCCGCGACUCUGCCGCCUCCCUCUGUCCCCGCCUCGUUCCGCCUGCGUCCUUCCCUGCUUUCUUCUAGGCUCUGCUCGGUCUCUACGCAACUUCACGCUCCGGGCGUUUCCGGGGAAACCGCGAAGGCCACGCCCGCAGGGCUCCAGCGCCUCUUCUGAUAGGUCAGACCCUCGCAGUCACGUCCCUUUCUUUACCGCCACGCCCCUCGUGGAGCGGGCUCGGGGUCGCGCAGGCGUGGUGGCGCGCUCGUGUCCCCUCCCUUCCCCAUGCUGAGGGUCCCGAGGCUGGGGUACUGUUCGACUAGUGACCGCUGGCUCCGUCAGAAGAUUGAGGCAGGUUUGUUGACAAAAGGGUUAGGUCUCGGCAUUGCUCUGGUGACGCAGCCCUGGCCCGGCACUAGGGCGGUCGCGAGGCACAGCACUGAUGUUAACUAAGAACAGCAUGAGAUACUAAUAAAUAUAAGAACC